AGAGUUUGAUCCUGGCUCAGAGUGAACGCUGGCGGCAGGCCUAACACAUGCAAGUCGAACGGCAGCACAGCAGUAGCAAUACUGUGGGUGGCGAGUGGCGGACGGGUGAGGAAUGCGUCGGAAUCUGCCUAUUUGUGGGGGAUAACGUAGGGAAACUUACGCUAAUACCGCAUACGACCUACGGGUGAAAGUGGGGGACCUUCGGGCCUCACGCAGAUAGAUGAGCCGACGCCGGAUUAGCUAGUUGGCGGGGUAAAGGCCCACCAAGGCGACGAUCCGUAGCUGGUCUGAGAGGAUGAUCAGCCACACUGGGACUGAGACACGGCCCAGACUCCUACGGGAGGCAGCAGUGGGGAAUAUUGGACAAUGGGCGCAAGCCUGAUCCAGCCAUGCCGCGUGUGUGAAGAAGGCCUUCGGGUUGUAAAGCACUUUUGUCCGGAAAGAAAUCCUUUCGAUUAAUACCCGGGAGGGAUGACGGUACCGA
This 484-nucleotide ribosomal RNA is filed under the name uncultured bacterium. Its description in RNAcentral is "bacterial SSU rRNA". It matches the Rfam family "Bacterial small subunit ribosomal RNA", at positions 8 to 481 of the family's 1533-position model. The record is from RNAcentral.